RNAcentral lists this long non-coding RNA (538 nucleotides) under Gorilla gorilla gorilla (western lowland gorilla). Its description in RNAcentral is "lncRNA (ENSGGOG00000044562.1)". Lineage: Eukaryota; Metazoa; Chordata; Mammalia; Primates; Hominidae. The record is from RNAcentral.
GGGACACAUCCUCCUUGUAAUGACCCAGGUGACAAACUGCUCCUGGGCUCACACUCUUCCGUGCCAGCCCCAGAUAUCUUCCCAGCUCAGUCCCAGGGAGGAGAGUCAUGGGAUAAGGCCCUUCUCUCUGGCCCCCUCUCCAACCUGCAGUUCCCUGUCCAUCUUGGCCAAGUUCAUCUGAUUUGCAGAUGGGGAACCUGCCUGGCACGAAUCCUAUGGUCCCUGCUUCCUUUGGGAAAUCAAGAGCAAAGCUCCCUCCCAACUCGUGGUAUUACCCGAGCAGAAUAGAGGCCGGCUGUGUGCGUUGAAGAAAUGAAUGAAGUGAUCGGGAGCUGAGUGCCGGCGGAGACCGGCCCCCCUGGGCAUAUGUGAAAACGUGGGGACCCCACUGAGCUUUCAAAAUCCAAAGAAGAGAAUCCGGAGGAAAGAUCUGUAUCAUUUGCUGGGGUGUAAGAUGUGCAAGGAUAUUAACAAUUUAACAAACAUGUAUCAAAGGGAGGUAUAAGUACGAUUUUCCGUGAUAAUUUUCUAUUGGAAG